Molecule: ribosomal RNA, 397 nt
Filed under: uncultured bacterium
Lineage: Bacteria
Description: partial 16S ribosomal RNA
Rfam family: Bacterial small subunit ribosomal RNA
Source: RNAcentral
UGGGGAAUAUUGCACAAUGGGCGAAAGCCUGAUGCAGCAACGCCGCGUGAGUGAUGAAGGCCUUCGGGUUGUAAAGCUCUGUCUUUUGGGACGAUAAUGACGGUACCAAAGGAGGAAGCCACGGCUAACUACGUGCCAGCAGCCGCGGUAAUACGUAGGUGGCAAGCGUUGUCCGGAUUUACUGGGCGUAAAGGAUGCGUAGGCGGAUUUUUAAGUGAGAUGUGAAAACCCUAAGCUUAACUUGGGGACUGCAUUUCAUACUGGAAAUCUAGAGUGCGGGAGAGGAGAAUGGAAUUCCUAGUGUAGCGGUGAAAUGCGUAGAGAUUAGGAAGAACACCAGUGGCGAAGGCGAUUCUCUGGACCGUAACUGACGCUGAGGCAUGAAAGCGUGGGUAGC